CCCUUAGAUGUUCUGGGCUGCACGCGCGCUACACUGAAGCGUUCAACGAGUAUUCACCUUGCCCGGGAGGGUUGGGUAAUCUUUUGAAAACGCUUCGUGAUGGGGAUAGAUUAUUGCAAUUAUUAAUCUUCAACGAGGAAUUCCUAGUAAACGCAGAUCAUCAAUCUGCAUUGAUUACGUCCCUGCCCUUUGUACACACCGCCCGUCGCACCUACCGAUUGGAUGGUCCGGUGAAGCCUCGGGAUUGUGGUUCUUGCCGCUUUAUUGUGGCGUGACCGCGAGAACUUGUCUAAACCUUAUCAUCUAGAGGAAGGUGAAGUCGUAACA
This 327-nucleotide ribosomal RNA is filed under the name uncultured eukaryote. RNAcentral's name for it is "partial 18S ribosomal RNA". It matches the Rfam family "Eukaryotic small subunit ribosomal RNA", at positions 1470 to 1796 of the family's 1831-position model. The record is from RNAcentral.